This 497-nucleotide ribosomal RNA is filed under the name uncultured bacterium. RNAcentral's name for it is "partial 16S ribosomal RNA". It matches the Rfam family "Bacterial small subunit ribosomal RNA", at positions 28 to 507 of the family's 1533-position model. The record is from RNAcentral.
GAUGAACGCUGGCGGCGUGCCUAAUACAUGCAAGUCGAGCGAACAGACGAGGAGCUUGCUCCUCUGACGUUAGCGGCGGACGGGUGAGUAACACGUGGAUAACCUACCUAUAAGACUGGGAUAACUUCGGGAAACCGGAGCUAAUACCGGAUAAUAUAUUGAACCGCAUGGUUCAAUAGUGAAAGACGGUUUUGCUGUCACUUAUAGAUGGAUCCGCGCCGCAUUAGCUAGUUGGUAAGGUAACGGCUUACCAAGGCGACGAUGCGUAGCCGACCUGAGAGGGUGGUCGGCCACACUGGAACUGAGACACGGUCCAGACUCCUACGGGAGGCGGCAGUAGGGAAUCUUCCGCAAUGGGCGAAAGCCUGACGGAGCAACGCCGCGUGAGUGAUGAAGGUCUUCGGAUCGUAAAACUCUGUUAUUAGGGAAGAACAAAUGUGUAAGUAACUAUGCACGUCUUGACGGUACCUAAUCAGAAAGCCACGGCUAACUACGUG